GGUACCAGAGGGCGAGCGGACACGGUAAGUCGUAGGGGGAAGCGGUUGUCCAGAUUUGUUGGGCGGAAAGAGCCGGGAGGAGUCCAAGCAGUGCCGCUGUGAAAAGCCGAGGGUCAACCUCGAGAGGUCGGUGGAAACCGUUUGGCUAGAGUCCGGAAGAGUGGAGUGGAAUUCCCGGUGUAGCGGUGAAAUGCGCAGAUAUCGGGAAGAACACCCGUGGCGAAGGCGGCUCGCUGGGACGGUACUGACGCUGAGACGCGAAAGCGUGGGGAGCGAACAGGAUUAGAUACCCUGGUAGUC
This 300-nucleotide ribosomal RNA is filed under the name uncultured Halococcus sp. RNAcentral's name for it is "bacterial SSU rRNA". It matches the Rfam family "Bacterial small subunit ribosomal RNA", at positions 496 to 795 of the family's 1533-position model. The record is from RNAcentral. Lineage: Archaea; Methanobacteriati; Methanobacteriota; Halobacteria; Halobacteriales; Halococcaceae.